RNAcentral lists this ribosomal RNA (444 nucleotides) under uncultured bacterium. RNAcentral's name for it is "bacterial SSU rRNA". It matches the Rfam family "Bacterial small subunit ribosomal RNA", at positions 355 to 796 of the family's 1533-position model. The record is from RNAcentral.
UAAGGAAUAUUGGACAAUGGAGGCAACUCUGAUCCAGCCAUGCCGCGUGCAGGAAGAAGGCGCUACGCGUUGUAAACUGCUUUUGUACCAGAGAAAAUCAUUGUACGUGUACGAUGUUGAUAGUAUGGUAAGAAUAAGCAUCGGCUAACUUCGUGCCAGCAGCCGCGGUAAUACGAAGGAUGCAAGCGUUAUCCGGAUUUAUUGGGUUUAAAGGGAGCGUAGGCGGUCUUAUAAGUCAGUGGUGAAAUCUCGUUGCUUAACAACGAACGUGCCAUUGAUACUGUAGGACUUGAGUACAGUUGCCGUUGGCGGAAUGUGUCAUGUAGCGGUGAAAUGCAUAGAUAUGACACAGAACACCGAUUGCGAAGGCAGCUGACGAAACUGUAACUGACGCUGAGGCUCGAAAGCGUGGGGAUCAAACAGGAUUAGAUACCCCCGUAGUCC